AGUGAACGCUGGCGGUAGGCCUAACACAUGCAAGUCGAACGGCAGCACAGUAAGAGCUUGCUCUUACGGGUGGCGAGUGGCGUACGGGUGAGGAAUACAUCGGACUCUACUUUUUCGUGGGGGAUAACGUAGGGAAACUUACGCUAAUACCGCAUACUACCUACGGUUGAAAGCAGGGGAUCUUCGGACCUUGCGCGAUUGAAUGAGCCGAUGUGGGAUUAGCUAGUUGGCGGGUUAAAGGCCCACCAAGGCGACGAUCCGUAGCUGGUCUGAGAGGAUGAUCAGCAACACUGGAACGGAGACACGGUCCAGACUCCUAAGAGAGGCAGCAGUGGGGAAUAGUGGACAAUGGGCGCAAGCCUGAUCCAGCCAUACCGCGUGGGUGAAGAAGGCCUUCGGGUUGUAAAGCCCUUUUGUUGGGAAAGAAAAGCAGCAGGUUAAUAACCCGCUGUUCUGACGGUACCCAAAGAAUAAGCACCGGCUAACUUCGUG
Molecule: ribosomal RNA, 492 nt
Filed under: uncultured bacterium
Lineage: Bacteria
Description: partial 16S ribosomal RNA
Rfam family: Bacterial small subunit ribosomal RNA
Source: RNAcentral